Molecule: unclassified non-coding RNA, 22 nt
Filed under: Mus musculus (house mouse)
Lineage: Eukaryota; Metazoa; Chordata; Mammalia; Rodentia; Muridae
Description: oocyte_clustered_small_RNA9465
Source: RNAcentral
UGGCAUAUGGACCUCUUCCAGA